RNAcentral lists this ribosomal RNA (550 nucleotides) under uncultured bacterium. RNAcentral describes it as "bacterial SSU rRNA". It matches the Rfam family "Bacterial small subunit ribosomal RNA", at positions 355 to 896 of the family's 1533-position model. The record is from RNAcentral.
UAGGGAAUCUUCGGCAAUGGGGGGAACCCUGACCGAGCAACGCCGCGUGAGUGAAGAAGGUUUUCGGAUCGUAAAGCUCUGUUGUUAAGGAAGAACGAGUGUGAGAAUGGAAAGUUCAUACUGUGACGGUACUUAACCAGAAAGGGACGGCUAACUACGUGCCAGCAGCCGCGGUAAUACGUAGGUCCCGAGCGUUGUCCGGAUUUAUUGGGCGUAAAGCGAGCGCAGGCGGUUAGAUAAGUCUGAAGUUAAAGGCAGUGGCUCAACCAUUGUAGGCUUUGGAAACUGUUUAACUUGAGUGCAGAAGGGGAGAGUGGAAUUCCAUGUGUAGCGGUGAAAUGCGUAGAUAUAUGGAGGAACACCGGUGGCGAAAGCGGCUCUCUGGUCUGUAACUGACGCUGAGGCUCGAAAGCGUGGGGAGCGAACAGGAUUAGAUACCCUGGUAGUCCACGCCGUAAACGAUGAGUGCUAGGUGUUGGAUCCUUUCCGGGAUUCAGUGCCGCAGCUAACGCAUUAAGCACUCCGCCUGGGGAGUACGACCGCAAGGUUG